CGUAGGUGGCAAGCGAUACUCGGAAUCACUAGGCGUAAAGUGCAGGUAGGCGGUUUGGUAAGUCUUUUGUGAAAGCUCCCGGCUUAACUGGGAGAGGUCAAGGGAAACUACCGGACUUGAGUGUGGUAGGGGAUACUGGAAUUCCUGGUGUAGCGGUGAAAUGCGUAGAUAUCAGGAGGAAUACCUAUGGCGAAAGCAGGUAUCUGGGCCAUCACUGACGCUGAGCUGCGAAAGCUAGGGGAGCAAACAGGAUUAGAUACCCUGGUAGUCCUAGCCCUAAACGAUGCUCAUUAGAUGUGGGAGGUAUCGACCCCUUCCGCGUCGCAGCUAACGCGAUAAGUAUGCCGCCUGGGAAGUACGGCCGCAAGGCUA
Molecule: ribosomal RNA, 372 nt
Filed under: uncultured organism
Description: bacterial SSU rRNA
Rfam family: Bacterial small subunit ribosomal RNA
Source: RNAcentral